CAUGCAAGUCGAACGGCAGCACGGGAGCAAUCCUGGUGGCGAGUGGCGAACGGGUGAGUAAUACAUCGGAACGUGCCCAGUUGUGGGGGAUAGCCCGGCGAAAGCCGGAUUAAUACCGCAUAAGACCUGAGGGUGAAAGCGGGGAACCGCAAGGCCUCGCGCGAUUGGAGCGGCCGAUGUCAGAUUAGGUAGUUGGUGGGGUAAAGGCCUACCAAGCCGACGAUCUGUAGCUGGUCUGAGAGGACGACCAGCCACACUGGGACUGAGACGCGGCCCAGACUCCUACGGGAGGCAGCAGUGGGGAAUUUUGGACAAUGGGCGCAAGCCUGAUCCAGCCAUGCCGCGUGUGGGAAGAAGGCCUUCGGGUUGUAAACCACUUUUGUCAGGGAAGAAACGGCCUGAUCUAAUACAUUGGGUUAAUGACGGUACCUGAAGAAUAAGCACCGGCUAACUACGUGCCAGCAGCCGCGGUAAUACGUAGGGUGCGAGCGUUAAUCGGAAUUACUGGGCGUAAAGCGUGCGCAGGCGGCUUUGCAAGACAGAUGUGAAAUCCCCGGGCUCAACCUGGGAACUGCAUUUGUGACUGCAAGGCUAGAGUACGGUAGAGGGGGAUGGAAUUCCGCGUGUAGCAGUGAAAUGCGUAGAUAUGCGGAGGAACACCGAUGGCGAAGGCAAUCCCCUGGACCUGUACUGACGCUCAUGCACAAAAGCGUGGGGAGCAAACAGGAUUAGAUACCCUGGUAGUCCACGCCCUAAACGAUGUCAACUGGUUGUUGGACGGCUUGCUGUUCAGUAACGAUGCUAACGCGUGAAGUUGACCGCCUGGGGAGUACGGCCGCAAGGUUGAAACUCAAAGGAAUUGACGGGGACCCGCACAAGCGGUGGAUGAUGUGGUUUAAUUCGAUGCAACGCGAAAAACCUUACCUACCCUUGACAUGUCAGGAAGUGACCAGAGAUGGUUUCGUGCUCGAAAGAGAACCUGAACACAGGUGCUGCAUGGCCGUCGUCAGCUCGUGUCGUGAGAUGUUGGGUUAAGUCCCGCAACGAGCGCAACCCUUAUCAUUAGUUGCUACUGCAAAGGGCACUCUAAUGAGACUGCCGGUGACAAACCGGAGGAAGGUGGGGAUGACGUCAGGUCAUCAUGGCCCUUAUGGGUAGGGCUACACACGUCAUACAAUGGCCGGUACAGAGGGCUGCCAACCCGCGAGGGGGAGCUAAUCUCAGAAAACCGGUCGUAGUCCGGAUCGCAGUCUGCAACUCGACUGCGUGAAGUCGGAAUCGCUAGUAAUCGCGGAUCAGCUUGCCGCGGUGAAUACGUUCCCGGGUCUUGUACACACCGCCCGUCACACCAUGGGAGCGGGUUCUGCCAGAAGUAGUUAGCCUAACCGCAAGGGGGGCGAUUACCACGGCAGGGUUCGUGACUGGGGUGAAGUCGUAACAAGGUA
Molecule: ribosomal RNA, 1445 nt
Filed under: metagenome
Description: bacterial SSU rRNA
Rfam family: Bacterial small subunit ribosomal RNA
Source: RNAcentral